This 422-nucleotide ribosomal RNA is filed under the name uncultured bacterium. Its description in RNAcentral is "bacterial SSU rRNA". It matches the Rfam family "Bacterial small subunit ribosomal RNA", at positions 355 to 774 of the family's 1533-position model. The record is from RNAcentral.
UGAGGAAUAUUGGGCAAUGCCCGCAAGGGUGACCCAGCAACGCCGCGUGGAGGAUGAAUGUCGUAAGAUUGUAAACUCCUGUUAGAGGGGAAGAAUAGUACCGGUUGGACCGGUAUAUGACUGUACCCUCAGAGAAAGCCCCGGCUAACUACGUGCCAGCAGCCGCGGUAAUACGUAGGGGGCAAGCGUUGUCCGGAUUUACUGGGUGUAAAGGGCGCGCAGGCGGGAUAAAAAGUCAGUGGUUAAAUCCUACAGCUUAACUGUAGAACUGCCUUUGAUACUUUUAUUCUUGAGUUCGGGAGAGAGAGACGGAAUUCCAGGUGUAGUGGUGAAAUACGUAGAUAUCUGGAAGAACACCAGUUGCGAAGGCGGUCUCUUGGUCCGACACUGACGCUGAGGCGCGAAAGCGUGGGGAGCAAACA